This 450-nucleotide ribosomal RNA is filed under the name uncultured bacterium. RNAcentral describes it as "partial 16S ribosomal RNA". It matches the Rfam family "Bacterial small subunit ribosomal RNA", at positions 338 to 795 of the family's 1533-position model. The record is from RNAcentral.
CCUACGGGGGGCUGCAGUGAGGAAUAUUGGGCAAUGCCCGCAAGGGUGACCCAGCAACGCCGCGUGGAGGAUGAAGGUCGUAAGAUUGUAAACUCCUGUUAGAAGGGAAGAAUAUCCGGGAUUGAAUCCCGGUUUGACUGUACCUUCAGAGAAAGUCCCGGCUAACUACGUGCCAGCAGCCGCGGUAAUACGUAGGGGGCAAGCGUUGUCCGGAUUUACUGGGUGUAAAGGGCGCGUAGGCGUGCGCGUAGAAAUCCUGAAGCUUAACUUCAGAACUGCCUUUGAUACUGCGAGUCUUGAGUUCAGAAGAGAGAGAUGGAAUUCCAGGUGUAGUGGUGAAAUACGUAGAUAUCUGGAAGAACACCAGUUGCGAAGGCGAUCUCUUGGUCUGACACUGACGCUGAGGCGCGAAAGCGUGGGGAGCAAACAGGAUUAGAUACCCCAGUAGUC